Long non-coding RNA from Bubalus bubalis (water buffalo), 1587 nucleotides. RefSeq lists it as uncharacterized. The transcript has 2 exons. The record is from RefSeq and is a predicted model, not a curated record. NCBI's taxonomy places the organism in Eukaryota, Metazoa, Chordata, Mammalia, Artiodactyla, Bovidae.
UACAAGGACAAUUCUGUGAAUGACAAGUCUUGGUAGCUGGAAUGCUCUGGUGCCAUACACUGGCUUUAAAAAAAAAAAAAAUUCUAGAGAUCACUUGAGUGAGCCUGGCUUAGGUUUUCAAGCACAUUGAUGUUAGUCCUAACCUAUGCUAAAAAGAUAGAUGCUACAUGCUGGCUCAGUUGCUUAAUCAUUUUCAACUCUUUGGGACCCCAUGGCCUGUAACCCGCCAGGCUCCUCUGUCCAUGGGGUUUCCCAGGCAAGAAUACUGGAGUGGAUUGCCAUUUCCUCCUCCAGGGGAUCUUCCUGCCCCAGGGAUCAAACCUGUCUCUCCUGCAUUGGCAGGCAGAUUCUUUACCACAGAGCCACCUGGGAAGCCCAGACAGAUACUAACCUGAUACCAAUUCUCCUUGGCAAGGAUUAGGAACCUCUGUGUGCGUGUCUGCUCUGGGAACAGGGGAAGUGGGAAGACGCUGCUGGAGGAUUCUGUUCCCUCUGCUGGCACCAAAAGGCCAACAGACACAAGCCACAACCACAGGCAGGAGGUGACUGGGACCCUCACCACCCACCAGUCUUGUUCACCGUGGAUGCGAGGAAGGACCAGGCACCCACGAAGCUAGAGGUCUCCUUCAAGCCUGGUACAGAGGCAGCGCUCACACCAGCUCAUCCAAUAGAAUCCCGAUGCUCUGGGAGGCCUCGGAGGGGCCAGCGAUGGGCUUGUUACACAUGGGGCAGACACAGCGCACCUCCAGCCACUUCACCAGACACCUGCGGGCAAAAGCUGACCUGUUACUCCCUAAGAAGAUACCAGCGUGCUCCGGCUGCCCCUUCAUAGAGCCCCGCUGCUUCUCAAGACAAGAACCUCUCCAUCCCUGCCCUGGUCUAACCCUUCUGGCUUGCCUGGUGUGCAGACAGGAUGCAGGGCAUCAGCAAGGGGUGUGUGGGAAGGACAGGGACUGGAGCCUCUAGAAGACUGUUAUUGUUCCGUCUCCAAGUCAUGUCCGACUCUGCAACCCCACCAACUGUAACCCGCCAGGGUCCUCCAACCAUGGGAUUCUCCAGGCAAGAAAACUGGAGUGGGUUGCCAUGUCCUUCUCCAGGGGAACUUCCCGACCCAGGGAUCGAGCCUGAGUCUCCUCCUCGGCAGGCAGGUUCUUUACCACUGUGUCGCCUGGGAAGCCCCCCUCUAGAAGAUGCUCCCUGCUUUCUUCGCUCCAAGGCAUCUGGACACAGCCCCACGACGGACACUUACUUGCGGUGAAAGGCGUGUUGGCACGGGAGGACACCUAGCUCGUCCUUGCCCCUGAAGUCUUCCAGACAGACGGCACAGGUCUGCUGUGGGAAGAGAGAGCCGUGUGAGAGGAGACGGGGAGGAGCCUCCCCCUGAAUCCUCAGUCACAUCACCCCAUCUCCACCCAAGAGAGGACUAACCCUGACACGCAGCAGCCACGAUCCACGGCGGACUGAUCCAAGUAGAUGAAAUUAAAUGGUUAGUUCCUUGGUCACGGCAGCCACAUUUUAAGUGCUCAACAACCACAGUGUGGCUAGUGGCUCCCACGCCAAAUACAGAUAAAAAGCAUUUAAUUGUUA